UGGCCCUUAAGUUCUCUUGAAUUGUCAAUUUUUGGCCCAUGUGACAAGAAGUUAGGACACCCCUGUUCCAGUCGGAUUAACCAACAGGAAAAUCGCCUGUAGUUUGAUCACAGUGGGAGCAAACUGGGUCUGGAUCUUCAUGUUCCUGGGUUCUAGAUCUAGAACCGGAUCUAACAAUUUUAACAGGUUCUGAUUGACCCCUCUUGGGAGGGUUCGGUCCAAACAGAGGUGAUUCUGUGCUAAUCAAUCCCAGUCAGCCCAGUUACCCCACUGCUUUACUCCAGACCCCACAGGAAGCUGGGACACCCACACACUGCAGAGAACAACAACCAGAACAUGGUUCUGUUUGUGUUUACCACAACCCGCCCUCCCACAGGGGGUUCUCCAGACCUGGACCCUGCUGUAGGUAAACACAAGAAAUCGACUGUUUCACCGAGUUCUUGUCGUUUCUUCCGACUAAACUUGUUAGUUUGUUGUUUAUCAUAAACAAUCUGUCCAACAGUAACCCUCACGCACAUGAAUGACUGAUCUGUCACCAGCACACCUGUCCAGCUUCCAUAACACACCACCAAGCAGAAUCUACGCUACUGCAGGGGGCGGGGCUUAAUCCGAGAGGGCGUGGCUACAGAGUGCAGUUUGCCUCUGGAGAGAGUCGACACUUUGCCACGGUCAGCACGCCAGCAGUUCGUAGGUUCUCCGCAGCGACUCGUCAGCUUCCAGACUCUGAUAAUAAUUUCCGUAAGGUGCCAACUGGAGGUUUGAGGUGUCAGUAAAGAUCUCUGUGAUGGUUCUCACCUUGAUCAGCAGCAUGAUUCCCGUCUUCAGUUCCGUCAGUUUGGGGGAGAUUUGGGUCCUCGGACCAGAACCUCCGGACAGAGAUCGGCUCGGAAACUCCCAGGACUCCACCAGGCGGUAGGAGAUUGACAACAACUUCAGAACCUGCAACCAAUCAGUGCAAAGCAGAUCCACAACGGAUUCAGAAGUCAGAACCAACUACCACCAGAUUCAGAACCGUUAGUAAUGGACCCAAGCUGCGGUUCUUAAAUCUUUUUGCACCGAGGACUAAAAAUCCCCAAACUGAAAGUAUUCCGGGGUCAAAAUGUUAUUUCCCCACAUUUUAUUUGACAACAAUCAGUGGCGGUGUCUGAUAACGCAGUGCACGUUCGUGGGUUAAUUUGCCCUUCUCAGUAUUUGACAGGCGGGCCCCCGGUGGAGGUGGGUCAGAUUUGCCCUGUGUGUUGUCUUGAAGGCAUGUGUAGUAUAAUUAUAUAUUGUGUAGUAGUCUAUAAUUAUCUGUAGUACUGUGUAGUAUAGUGAGGUGUUGUGUAUUCCAUCAGAGUAUUUUUUUAGUUCCUCUUACUACUGUUUGCUUUGUGUAAUACUAUUCUGUAGUAACCAUACUCCGUUUUACUGUGUAAUAAUGUACAAUACUUAGCAAGUGUGGUACUUUGUUCUGUUGUUUGGAACUAUGUAGUACUCUUUGAUACUGUGUAGCCCUCUAUAGUACUGUGUGGUACUGAGUAGAGCUCUGUAGUUAUGCGUAGUAUUUUGCCAUAUGUUUCCAUAGUACAGCAUAAUACUCUGUACUUCUGCAUGGUAUUUAUUAUGUAGUUCUGUAUAGUACAGUGUUAUAUUAUGUAGCACUAUAAUUAUUUGUACUCUAUCACAUGGUGAGGUUUAGUGUAGUACACCAUAGUAUUUUGUAGUUCUAUCAGGUGCUGUUUGAUACUGUGCAGUUCUGUAUAAUACUCUGUAGUUUUGUUUAGUACUGUUUUGUAGUAAGUCAUACUUGGUAGUAUUCUAUUAUUUUUAGUAGUACAGUGCCAUACUCUGUUGUAUUGUGUAGUACUAUUUAAAUAUACCACUCUGUAUUUCUGUGUAGUA
This is a non-coding RNA of Poecilia reticulata (guppy), 1884 nucleotides long. NCBI's taxonomy places the organism in Eukaryota, Metazoa, Chordata, Actinopteri, Cyprinodontiformes, Poeciliidae. The record is from RefSeq and is a predicted model, not a curated record.